AGCUCCAAUAGCGUAUAUUAAAGUUGUUGCGGUUAAAAAGCUCGUAGUUGGAUCUCAGAGAGGCGCUCGUGGUGGGCCCGCGCGGUCAUACUGCGUUCGCCUUUCACCGACCGCUGGUGGCGAGUGCCCUUCGCUGGGUGUUCGUUCUACCGCGGCCACGUUUACUUUGAAAAAAUUAGAGUGUUCAAAGCAGGCGGUCACCGCCCGCAUACCCCAGCAUGGAAUAAUGGAAUAGGAGGCCGGUUCUAUUUUGUUGGUUUUCGGAGUCCGGCCUAAUGGUUAAAAGGGACGGCCGGGGGCAUUCGUAUUGCGCCGUUAGAGGUGAAAUUCUAAGAUCGGCGCAAGACGAACAAGUGCGAAAGCAUUUGCCAAGAAUGUUUUCAUUAAUCAAGAACGAAAG
This 400-nucleotide ribosomal RNA is filed under the name phytoplankton environmental sample. RNAcentral describes it as "partial small subunit ribosomal RNA". It matches the Rfam family "Eukaryotic small subunit ribosomal RNA", at positions 587 to 989 of the family's 1831-position model. The record is from RNAcentral.